GCAGGUAUAGCUCAGCAGUAGAGUGUGUGCUUGGCAUGCAUGAGAUCCUGUGUUCAAUCCCCAGUACCUCCA
Molecule: transfer RNA, 72 nt
Filed under: Camelus bactrianus (Bactrian camel)
Lineage: Eukaryota; Metazoa; Chordata; Mammalia; Artiodactyla; Camelidae
Also listed under: 2 other names
Rfam family: tRNA
About the family: Transfer RNA (tRNA) molecules are approximately 80 nucleotides in length. Their secondary structure includes four short double-helical elements and three loops (D, anti-codon, and T loops).
Source: Rfam by way of RNAcentral